GUCGGGAAUAUUGCCCAAUGGACGAAAGUCUGAGGCAGCAACGCCGCGUGCGCGAUGAAGGCCUUCGGGUCGUAAAGCGCUUUUCGGGUGGAUGAGAGCGGACAGUACACCCGGAAUCAGGUACGGCUAACUACGUGCCAGCAGCCGCGGUAAAACGUAGGUACCGAGCGUUAUCCGGAUUUACUGGGCGUAAAGCGCGUUCAGGCGGUCGGGCAAGUCGGGCAUGAAAUCUCUCGGCUCAACCGGGAGAGGUUGUCCGAUACUGCCGGACUGGAGGGCAGUAGAGGGUGGUGGAAUUCCGGGUGUAGUGGUGAAAUGCGUAGAGAUCCGGAGGAACACCAGUGGCGAAAGCGGCCACCUGGACUGCACCUGACGCUGAAACGCGAAAGCUAGGGGAGCGAACGGGAUUAGAAACCCCAGUAGUCC
Molecule: ribosomal RNA, 426 nt
Filed under: uncultured bacterium
Lineage: Bacteria
Description: bacterial SSU rRNA
Rfam family: Bacterial small subunit ribosomal RNA
Source: RNAcentral